UCGAACCUUAAUCCGAAAAGGAAUAACUUGUGAACGCGUAAUCACACAUGCGGKGCGUGGGGACUUUAACCGGUUGUCACGCUCGCCUCGUCCGUAGGGUCAUGUGCAAUCAAAUGAGUGCUCACUCAUUAGGCUGUACGUGGUUCUGUCGGAAAUUCACAAAACCCCGGCGCARAAAGCGUCAAGGACCAUUCAACGAAACAGCUCACCCUGAAUUCAYCCUUUUAGGUUCGUAUUCGCUGUGUGUGGCUGCGAUCAUAAGUCUAAAACGACUCUCGGCAACGGAUAUCUCGGCUCUCGCAUCGAUGAAGAACGUAGCAAAAUGCGAUACUUGGUGUGAAUUGCAGAAUCCCGUGAACCAUCGAGUUUUUGAACGCAAGUUGCGCCMUAAGCCGUCAGGCAGAGGGCACGCUUGCCUGGGUGUCACGCAUCGUCAUCUCCCCCACUCGUMUAAGCUUCGCUUGGGUGAUUACGRARAAGRAGAUUGGUCUCCCGUGUGUUACCGCACGCGGUUGGCCUAAAAUCRAMAMAAGGGGGCGCGAAGCACCUGAUGAGCGGUGGUGUGUAGAUGCCUCGUGCGAAUGUCAGUUGCUUUCGUCCCGAUUGAGUCUAUGACCCUUUAAGUGUCGUUUGCGCGAUUCUUUGAACGCGACCCCAGGUCAAGGGGA
This 668-nucleotide ribosomal RNA is filed under the name Tarenaya werdermannii. RNAcentral's name for it is "eukaryotic LSU rRNA". The stretch from base 271 to 426 matches the Rfam family "5.8S ribosomal RNA". The record is from RNAcentral. Lineage: Eukaryota; Viridiplantae; Streptophyta; Magnoliopsida; Brassicales; Cleomaceae.